AGAUAGGAAAGCUGUGAUAGGAACAAAGGAAAUUCUUUCAUCUGAGUGCUGCUUGGCAGGUUGGCUUUUUCCACAAAUUGGAAGAAAUAGAAUAAAGUGAAAAGAUAACCAAAGAGAAGGUGAAGAAAG
Cyanistes caeruleus (blue tit) is the source of this 129-nucleotide non-coding RNA. The record is from RefSeq and is a predicted model, not a curated record. Lineage: Eukaryota; Metazoa; Chordata; Aves; Passeriformes; Paridae.